RNAcentral lists this ribosomal RNA (430 nucleotides) under Calidivitrina kiboschoensis. Its description in RNAcentral is "partial large subunit ribosomal RNA". It matches the Rfam family "Bacterial large subunit ribosomal RNA", at positions 1832 to 2601 of the family's 2925-position model. Lineage: Eukaryota; Metazoa; Mollusca; Gastropoda; Stylommatophora; Vitrinidae. The record is from RNAcentral.
AGCAUUAUGAAAAUAUAUAAAGUAAUACCUGCCCGGUGAUAUAUUAAACGGCCGCAGUACCUUGACUGUGCUAAGGUAGCAUAAUAAAUUGACUUUUAAUUGAAGCCUUGUAUGAAAGGAAUAAUGGGUAGUUUCUGUCUCUAAAUAAUUUAUUAAAAAUUACUUAAAAGGUGAAAAUACCUUUAAGUUAUUUAAUAGACGAGAAGACCCUAGGAGUUUAUUUAAUAUUACUAUAAAAUAUUUUGUUGGGGCGACAUUACAACAUAUAUAACUUGUAAGUUUAUUAUUUAACGAAAAGUUUUAAUUAUAAUUAAACUACCCUAGGGAUAACAGCAUAAUUUAUUUAAGUUUGUGACCUCGAUGUUGGACUAGGAAUUUUUAAUAUUAACAGUAUUAAAACUAUGUUCUGUUCGAACAACAUUUCCUACAU